This 424-nucleotide ribosomal RNA is filed under the name uncultured bacterium. Its description in RNAcentral is "bacterial SSU rRNA". It matches the Rfam family "Bacterial small subunit ribosomal RNA", at positions 65 to 507 of the family's 1533-position model. The record is from RNAcentral.
CACUUGUUACAUGGCUACCUGAUACUUUAUUACAUUUCUAGUGGCGACGGGUGAGUAACACGUUGGAACCUGCCCCAAAGUUGAGGAAUAAGCCACCGAAAGGUGGUCUAAUACUUCAUAAUAUCCAUCUCGUAUGGAUUAAAGCUUUAUGCGCUUUGGGAGGGGCCUGCGUAACAUUAGCUUGUUGGUGAGGUAAAAGCUCACCAAGGCUUCGAUGUUUAACUGGUUUGAGAGGAUGACCAGUCACACUGGGACUGAGAUACGGCCCAGACUCCUACGGGAGGCAGCAGUAAGGAAUCUUCCACAAUGGGGCAACCCUGAUGGAGCAAUACCGCGUGCAGGAUGAAGCGUUUCGGCGUGUAAACUGCUUUUAUCACCGAAGAUUAUGACUGUAGGUGAAGAAUAAGGACCGGCUAACUACGUG